UUAUUGCUUCCUCUUCUAUCGUGGGCCACUCUGUCCGGUGACGCAAUUCCCCUAACGCCGCCGUUGCCGUGUCCUCUCAUCGGCCCUGCCGUCUCCGAGUUCCUGAGAAUGCGGUGGUGAGGAGGGGGGAGUUGAGGGGAUGAGGGUCGUUGGCGGAGAUUCAAAUACCCAUUGUUGAUAUUAUUGUGAUUUGCAGGAGAAUUGGUCCGGUUGGGGGAGUCUUUAUCGGUUCUAACAACUCGGCGGUCGA
This 250-nucleotide unclassified non-coding RNA is filed under the name Hevea brasiliensis (rubber tree). The record is from RNAcentral. Lineage: Eukaryota; Viridiplantae; Streptophyta; Magnoliopsida; Malpighiales; Euphorbiaceae.